CCUCUAUUGUCUCCUCCAUCGAUCUCUCUCGAUCUCUUCCCUCUCGAUCUCCUUAUUCUCGAUCUCUCUCUCCCACAGUCUCUCUUUUUCUCUCUCUCUCUCCUAUCUCACCUACCCUAAACCUUCACAAAGAAUAACCAGGCAUAUACCCAGCUCACCCGCAGUAAACCAUCUGCGCCACAAGCCGCCGUCCACAAAGCAUCACCAGCUGCGCCAAAAGCCGCCGUCCACGCCCUUCUCUCUUUCCUACAAUCCCGCGCUUGAGCUGUUAAUAAUUUCAGGUAACUAUUUAAAUUUUUAGGGUUUAUCGAUUAACUCUCACUCUCUCCAAACGCCUUUGUCUCUGAUCUGUGCAACUCCGACGGGAGCUCGAUCAAGAGGUUUUGGACACGGUGGAAUGAGCGGAGGAUCUGGGUCGGGUUUCCGUUUCUCACCUCCCUGCGAUCUGGUCCGGGUGAGCGGAGAGAUCGGGUUUCGUUGCUCCGCGGCUGGUCUUUGAUUUUCGGCAACUGAAUUUUCAACUCAGCGUCUGUACGUGGGAGGGAGGCAGUUAGAGAGAAGACUAGGUAAAAGUAGAGUGUGAGUGGGUUGAUGUUUUCUUUAUUGUUUUCGGCCAGCCGCUCAUUUGCAGAAGAACCCCCUUUCUCUGUUGAACCAAUAAUCUCAAGUCUCAAACAGGUUGGUUAUACUGAGGCUUAUUUGCAUUUUGUUUCGAAAUGCAAAAUCGAAGCUUGAUUUGGAUUUUGCAUAAAUACAAGUACAGUGGCGUGGAUCACUCUUACACUGCCAAAUAUGUCUUGCAACCCUUUUGGAGUAGCUUCGUUAAAAUCUUUCCCCUUUGGAUGUCGGCUGGGCACAGGCUGGAGGAGUUUAGGGGUCAGGAUUCCUAAGAUUGGGACUCCAGGGGCUUGAGGGAUUCAUGGUCGAAGGAGAGGACGGCGACGGCAUGGCCUUGGCAGAGGGAGGCAGAGAUGUCGAGCAACGGUGGUGGUGUUUCGAGAUCGUCGAAGGAGCUGCGGUGAUAUCGAAGAAUAUGCUGGAAGAAAACCUUUAGCUUUAGGGUUAGGUGUCUGUUUGGGCUUUUAGGUUACUCAUGAAGUCCAUUAUUUUGUUUAUGUGGACAUUGUAUUUGGAUUAAAUUGAUUGAAUUGUAUCAAAAAAAAAGACCCGUGGACCCGGCCCGUUUCAACCGGGCCGGGUAAGGUCUGGUUCCUAUCUUAAAAAAUGUUAUCCCCGGCCCGUUUACUUUAAACCCGGGUCCGGUCUGGUCCCUUCAAAAUUGGGCCCGACCCGGCCCGUGCCCACCCCUAGUUCAUGUCACAAGAAAGAAAGUUUUGGCUUGUAAAUUGCUAUUCUGCUUCACUAGCUAGUUUAAGGGAAUGUUCUUGCCUUGGAUCGA
RNAcentral lists this small RNA (1399 nucleotides) under Malus domestica (apple). RNAcentral's name for it is "sRNA MD17G0100800". The record is from RNAcentral. Lineage: Eukaryota; Viridiplantae; Streptophyta; Magnoliopsida; Rosales; Rosaceae.